AUGCACGCUGGCGGCGUGCUUAACACAUGCCAGUCGAACGAUGAAGCCCAGCUUGCUGGGUGGAUUAGUGGCGAACGGGUGAGUAACAUGUGAGUAACCUGCCCUUGACUCUGGGAUAAGCCUGGGAAACUGGGUCUAAUACUGGAUAUGACUUCUCAUCGCAUGGUGGGGGGUGGAAAGAUUUAUUGGUCUUGGAUGGACUCGCGGCCUAUCAGCUUGUUGGUGAGGUAAUGGCUCACCAAGGCGACGACGGGUAGCCGGCCUGAGAGGGUGACCGGCCACACUGGGACUGAGACACGGCCCAGACUCCUACGGGAGGCAGCAGUGGGGAAUAUUGCACAAUGGGCGCAAGCCUGAUGCAGCGACGCCGCGUGAGGGAUGACGGCCUUCGGGUUGUAAACCUCUUUCAGUAGGGAAGAAGCGAGAGUGACGGUACCUGCAGAAGAAGCGCCGGCUAACUACGUG
RNAcentral lists this ribosomal RNA (465 nucleotides) under uncultured bacterium. RNAcentral's name for it is "partial 16S ribosomal RNA". It matches the Rfam family "Bacterial small subunit ribosomal RNA", at positions 29 to 507 of the family's 1533-position model. The record is from RNAcentral.